AAGCUUUUGAUUUUUCUGAAUGCUUCUGUUUCUGAUAGGAUAUAUAAUGUUUCAUGGCCAUGAAAAAAUACAUGACUUUUUUAUACAUGUCAAUUCUGAUCCUUUUUUUGCUUUGAGUUACUUUAUGUGGUUCUUGUCUUUCUUUUAACCUUGAAAUUACUAUGCCAUUUGUUAUGUGUAUUUGGAUGAUGGUUUCCUCUCUGGUCAUUUCCAGAAAUGGGCUGUCUUCCUGUCAUUUGCAAAUGGUAAGAUUUCAUUGUUUCGAAAA
Populus euphratica (Euphrates poplar) is the source of this 268-nucleotide long non-coding RNA. RefSeq lists it as uncharacterized. NCBI's taxonomy places the organism in Eukaryota, Viridiplantae, Streptophyta, Magnoliopsida, Malpighiales, Salicaceae. The record is from RefSeq and is a predicted model, not a curated record. The transcript is spliced from 2 exons.